ACCUCUGUUAGAUCUUUUUAAUUAACAAAAAGUGGAGAAAUCGCUGAGACAGCUCAUGAAAUUACAGAGUGCACAUAAGAUGGUCAAGUAUGAGGAAAAAGAAAACUUGCUUCACUAAACCCAAAGAGGUUGCCCAGAGCAGUCUUGGUGUCUAUAGCUACCUGUAUCCAUUUGUUGAGAACCAUGGCUCUUUCUGCCUCACCUCCACAAUAAUGCUAUUCCUUCGGCUGUUAAUUUUGCUCGUCCAACCACUAGUGGGGGCGCUGUGUGACGAUAAGAAGUUGAGAGUCUGGG
Molecule: long non-coding RNA, 294 nt
Organism: Limulus polyphemus (Atlantic horseshoe crab)
Lineage: Eukaryota; Metazoa; Arthropoda; Merostomata; Xiphosura; Limulidae
Exons: 3
Source: RefSeq, a predicted model, not a curated record